UGGUAAUGCCGGAUGCUCCAGUUGGAUGCAUGUCCUUCUGGGAAAGAUUCAUCGGUAUGGGAUGGGGUCGCGUCCUAUCAGCUUGAUGGCGGGGUAACGGCCCACCAUGGCUUCGACGGGUAGCCGGCCUGAGAGGGCGACCGGCCACAUUGGGACUGAGAUACGGCCCAGACUCCUACGGGAGGCAGCAGUGGGGAAUAUUGCACAAUGGGCGCAAGCCUGAUGCAGCGACGCCGCGUGCGGGAUGACGGCCUUCGGGUUGUAAACCGCUUUUGACUGGGAGCAAGCCCUUCGGGGUGAGUGUACCUUUCGAAUAAGCACCGGCUAACUACGUGCCAGCAGCCGCGGUAAUACGUAGGGUGCAAGCGUUAUCCGGAAUUAUUGGGCGUAAAGGGCUCGUAGGCGGUUCGUCGCGUCCGGUGUGAAAGUCCAUCGCUUAACGGUGGAUCCGCGCCGGGUACGGGCGGGCUUGAGUGCGGUAGGGGAGACUGGAAUUCCCGGUGUAACGGUGGAAUGUGUAGAUA
Molecule: ribosomal RNA, 524 nt
Filed under: Bifidobacterium adolescentis
Lineage: Bacteria; Bacillati; Actinomycetota; Actinomycetes; Bifidobacteriales; Bifidobacteriaceae
Description: bacterial SSU rRNA
Rfam family: Bacterial small subunit ribosomal RNA
Source: RNAcentral